AGAAAACAAAAAGGUUUCAAAAUAGAAUCAAUUACUUUCAAUGAGUUCUUAACUUUCACUAAAGAUUUUUAUAUACGUUCUUCUAUAGACAUGCAAAUAUAGAAUUUUAUUUGCAUUUUAUUCUGCAAAUAGGUCGAUGGGGAAAAUAAAACUCCCCACCUUGGAAUAGAAAUGGUCUUUAUUCUUUUGUCAACAAAAAAGUUAUUAUUCAGUGAAUAGUAAAUAGAGGAUUUCCUAAUUCUAUUAUUUUCUAUAUCAAUCAGAAAAGCGAAUAGAGUUAUGUUAUAUAUGGAUUGGUGAGCUAAUCAAUAUCAAAGAGGAAAGGGAA
Molecule: unclassified non-coding RNA, 328 nt
Filed under: Hevea brasiliensis (rubber tree)
Lineage: Eukaryota; Viridiplantae; Streptophyta; Magnoliopsida; Malpighiales; Euphorbiaceae
Source: RNAcentral